This 171-nucleotide ribosomal RNA is filed under the name Leptospira interrogans. Its description in RNAcentral is "partial 16S ribosomal RNA". It matches the Rfam family "Bacterial small subunit ribosomal RNA", at positions 37 to 219 of the family's 1533-position model. Lineage: Bacteria; Pseudomonadati; Spirochaetota; Leptospiria; Leptospirales; Leptospiraceae. The record is from RNAcentral.
UGGCGGCGCGUCUUAAACAUGCAAGUCAAGCGGAGUAGCAAUACUCAGCGGCGAACGGGUGAGUAACACGUGGGUAAUCUUCCUCUGAGUCUGGGAUAACUUUCCGAAAGGGAAGCUAAUACUGGAUGGUCCCGAGAGAUCACAAGAUUUUUCGGGUAAAGAUUUAUUGCU